RNAcentral lists this ribosomal RNA (494 nucleotides) under Ischnocnema parva. RNAcentral's name for it is "partial 12S ribosomal RNA". It matches the Rfam family "Bacterial small subunit ribosomal RNA", at positions 9 to 825 of the family's 1533-position model. Lineage: Eukaryota; Metazoa; Chordata; Amphibia; Anura; Brachycephalidae. The record is from RNAcentral.
AACCCUAAAAAGUUCUCUAGGCACAAAAAUUUGGUCCUAAUUUUAAAAUCUAUUUUUUCUUAACCUACACAUGCAAGUCUCCCCAUCCCCGUGAGUACACCUUUACCCCCACCCGGGCUAACAAGGUCGGAAUUAGGCACUAUGAUUAGCCCAAGACACCCAGCAACAGCCACACCCAUAAGGGUCACAGCAGUGAUCAACAUUAGUAAUAAGUGUCAACUAGAUCUAGUUAAAGAAAAUAGAGCCGGCAAAUCUGGUGCCAGCCGCCGCGGCUAAACCACAGGCUCAAAUUGAUUUUUUCCCGGCGUAAAGCGUGAUUAAAGCACUAGCAAACUAGAGUCUAACUCAAACUGAGCAGUGAUAUGCCUGUUUAGAAGAACCCUAAAGACGAAAGUUACUCUACCCUAACAACUUGAAUCCACGAUAGCUAAGACAUAAACUGGGAUUAGGUACCCCACUAUACUCAGCCUUAAACUUUAAAUUACUUCCCCCAU